UCCACGCUGUAAACGAUGUCGAUUUGGAGGUUGUUCCCUGAGGAGUGGCUUCCGGAGCUAACGCGUUAAAUCGACCGCUGGGGGGUACGGCCGCAAGGUUAAAACUCAAAUGAAUUGACGGGGGCCCGCACAAGCGGUGGAGCAUGUGGUUUAAUUCGAUGCAACGCGAAGAACCUUACCUACUCUUGACAUCCAGAGAAUUUAGCAGAGAUGCUUUAGUGCCUUCGGGAACUCUGAGACAGGUGCUGCAUGGCUGUCGUCAGCUCGUGUUGUGAAAUGUUGGGUUAAGUCCCGCAACGAGCGCAACCCUUAUCCUUUGUUGCCAGCACGUUAUGGUGGGAACUCAGAGGAGACUGCCGGUGAUAAACCGGAGGAAGGUGGGGAUGACGUCAAGUCAUCAUGGCCCUUACGAGUAGGGCUACACACGUGCUACAAUGGCGUAUACAAAGAGAAGCGACCUCGCGAGAGCAAGCGGAACUCAUAAAGUACGUCGUAGUCCGGAUUGGAGUCUGCAACUCGACUCCAUGAAGUCGGAAUCGCUAGUAAUCGUAGAUCAGAAUGCUACGGUGAAUACGUUCCCGGGCCUUGUACACACCGCCCGUCACACCAUGGGAGUGGGUUGCAAAAGAAGUAGGUAGCUUAACCUUCGGGAGGGCGCUUACCACUUUGUGAUUCAUGACUGGGGUGAAGUCGUAACAAGGUAACCA
RNAcentral lists this ribosomal RNA (707 nucleotides) under uncultured Providencia sp. RNAcentral describes it as "bacterial SSU rRNA". It matches the Rfam family "Bacterial small subunit ribosomal RNA", at positions 794 to 1502 of the family's 1533-position model. The record is from RNAcentral. Lineage: Bacteria; Pseudomonadati; Pseudomonadota; Gammaproteobacteria; Enterobacterales; Morganellaceae.